GGGCUAUCAAGUGUUAUCAGAGAGCUCUUAGCCUUAAUCCAGACGAUUCAAUUGCUGGGGAAGCAGUUUGUGAUAUACUGGACGCAACUGGAAAAGAGACCUUGGAGAUAGCUGUAUGCCGUGAAGCUUCACUCAAGUCGCCCAGGGCCUUUUGGGCUUUAUGCAGAUUGGGUUACCUUCUGGUCAACCAAAACAAGUGGUCCGAAGCCGUGCAGAGUCUUCAGCAGGCCAUCAGAGGCUAUCCCACAUGUGCUGAUUUGUGGGAGGCCCUGGGUCUAUCCUACCAGCAAAUGGGCAUGUUUACAGCCGCUGUUAAGUCCUAUGGAAGAGCUAUUGAAUUGGAGGAAUCACGAGUAUUUGCACUGGUAGAAAGCGGAAAUGUCUAUUUGAUGCUUGGUUCGUUUCGGAAGGGAAUAGAGCAGUUUCGACAAGCUUUACAAAUCUCACCUCUGAAUUUGUCCGCGCAUCACGGGCUUGCCUCUGCACUCCUUAGUUUGGC
This 499-nucleotide unclassified non-coding RNA is filed under the name Hevea brasiliensis (rubber tree). The record is from RNAcentral. Lineage: Eukaryota; Viridiplantae; Streptophyta; Magnoliopsida; Malpighiales; Euphorbiaceae.